GAAAUGCGAUAAGUAAUGUGAAUUGCAGAAUUCAGUGAAUCAUCGAAUCUUUGAACGCACAUUGCGCCCGCCAGUAUUCUGGCGGGCAUGCCUGUUCGAGCGUCAUUUCAACCAUCAAGCCCCCGGCUUGUGUUGGGGACCUGCGGCUGCCCGCAGGCCCUGAAAAACAGUGGCGGGCUCGCUGUCACACCGAGCGUAGUAGCAUACAUUCUCGCUCAGGGCGUGCUGCGGGUUCCGGCCGUUAAACGACCUUCAUAACCCAAGGUUGACCUCGGAUCAGGUAGGAAGACCCGCUGAACUAAAGC
Molecule: unclassified non-coding RNA, 305 nt
Filed under: plant metagenome
Description: partial contains 5.8S ribosomal RNA, internal transcribed spacer 2, and large subunit ribosomal RNA
Rfam family: 5.8S ribosomal RNA (bases 1-105)
Source: RNAcentral